This 334-nucleotide ribosomal RNA is filed under the name Burkholderia pyrrocinia. RNAcentral describes it as "bacterial LSU rRNA". It matches the Rfam family "Bacterial large subunit ribosomal RNA", at positions 1 to 369 of the family's 2925-position model. The record is from RNAcentral. Lineage: Bacteria; Pseudomonadati; Pseudomonadota; Betaproteobacteria; Burkholderiales; Burkholderiaceae.
GUUAUAGGGUCAAGCGAACAAGUGCAUGUGGUGGAUGCCUUGGCGAUCACAGGCGAUGAAGGACGCGGUAGCCUGCGAAAAGCUACGGGGAGCUGGCAAACGAGCUUUGAUCCGUAGAUGUCCGAAUGGGGAAACCCGGCCCUUUUGGGUCAUCCUGGACUGAAUACAUAGGUCCAGUGAAGCGAACGCGGUGAACUGAAACAUCUAAGUAACCGCAGGAAAAGAAAUCAACCGAGAUUCCCAAAGUAGUGGCGAGCGAAAUGGGAUGAGCCUUGCACUCUUUAUUUGUAUUGUUAGCCGAACGCUCUGGAAAGUGCGGCCAUAGCAGGUGAUA